RNAcentral lists this ribosomal RNA (199 nucleotides) under uncultured Glomus. RNAcentral describes it as "partial 18S ribosomal RNA". It matches the Rfam family "Eukaryotic small subunit ribosomal RNA", at positions 578 to 785 of the family's 1831-position model. The record is from RNAcentral. Lineage: Eukaryota; Fungi; Glomeromycota; Glomeromycetes; Glomerales; Glomeraceae.
GGUAUCAGCUCAUAGCGUAUAUUAAGUUGUUGCAGUUAAAAAGCUCGUAGUUGAAUUUCGGGGUUAGUAAGUUGGUCAUGCCUUCGGUAUGUACUGGCUUUACUGAUUCCUCCUUCUUGACGAACCGUGAUGUCAUUAAUUUGGUGUUGCGGGAAAUCAGGACUGUUACUUUGAAAAAAUUAAAGUGUUUAAAGCAGGA